UUUAAUUGAAGAGUUUGAUCAUGGCUCAGAUUGAACGCUGGCGGCAGGCCUAACACAUGCAAGUCGAGCGGCAGCACAGAGAAACUUGUUUCUCGGGUGGCGAGCGGCGGACGGGUGAGUAAUGCCUGGGAAAUUGCCCUGAUGUGGGGGAUAACCAUUGGAAACGAUGGCUAAUACCGCAUGAUGCCUACGGGCCAAAGAGGGGGACCUUCGGGCCUCUC
Molecule: ribosomal RNA, 221 nt
Filed under: Vibrio navarrensis
Lineage: Bacteria; Pseudomonadati; Pseudomonadota; Gammaproteobacteria; Vibrionales; Vibrionaceae
Also listed under: 1 other name
Description: partial 16S ribosomal RNA
Rfam family: Bacterial small subunit ribosomal RNA
Source: RNAcentral